Molecule: long non-coding RNA, 1692 nt
Organism: Dromaius novaehollandiae (emu)
Lineage: Eukaryota; Metazoa; Chordata; Aves; Casuariiformes; Dromaiidae
Source: Ensembl
GGCGGCGGCGGCUCCCGGUGGCACCUGCGGGGACAUGGGUCAGCGCCCCGCACGCACACGCGUGACGUGGGCGGGGACACGCGGAGGGACACGCGAGGUGACACGGGAUGGCGACACGCGGUGACGUGGGAGGACACGGGAAGACACGGGAUGUCACAGGACGACACGGGACGACACAGGAUAACACAGAUCAACAUGGGAUGACACAGGACAACACGGGAUGACACAGGAUGACACGGAUCAACAUGGGAUGACACGGGAUGACACGGGACGACAACACAGAUCAAGACGAGUCGACAGGGGAUGACACAGGACAACAUGCGAUGACACGGGAUGACACAGGACAACGUGGGACAACAACACAGGUCAACACGGGUCAACACGGGUCAACACGGGAUGACAUUGGAUGACACAUGAUGUCACGGGACAACACAAGACAACACGGGAUGACAACAUGGAUCAACACGGGUCAACACGGGUCAACACGGGAUGACACAGGUCAACAUGGGAGAACACAGGAUGACACAGGUCAACACGGGUCAACACGGGUUGACAUGGGACGACACAGGACGACACAUGACAUCACGGGAUGGCACAGGAUGACAACACGGGACGACACGGGUCGACACGGGUUGCCAUGGGAUGACACAGGACGACACAUGACGUCACAGGAUGACACGGGAUGACAACACAGGUCAACACGGGUCAACAUGGGACAACACGGGUUGCCAUGGGACGACACAGGACGACACAUGACGUCACAGGAUGACACAGGAUGACAACACGGGACGACACGGGUCAACACGGGUUCCCUCACCGCCGCCAGCCCCUGCAGCCGCUCCAGCUCCGCCGCCAGCCUGCGAGAAAUGACGCGCUGAGGGGCCCAGGCGUCCGGGAGAGGGGGCCCAGGCGUCCGGGGAAGGGGCCCAGGCGUCUGGGGAAGGGGCCCAGGCGUCCGGGAGAGGGGCCCAGGCGUCCGGGCCCCGCCCACCUGCGGCGCUGCUGCUCCAGGGCCUGGUGCCGGCGCCUGGUGGCCUCCAGCCGCGCGCGAGCUCCCGCGUUCUCCUGCUGCAGCAGCUGCCUGCGGGGCCCAGGCAUCCGGGAAAGGGCCCAGGCGUCCGGGGAGGGGCCCAGGCGUCCGGGAAAGGGGCCCAGGUGUCCAGGAAGGGGCCCAGGCGUCCGGGAAAAGGGCCCAGGAGUACAGGAAAAGGGCCCAGGCGUCCAGGAAAGAGCCCAGGUGUCCGGGAAAGGGCCCAGGCGUCCGGGAAAGGGCCCAGGUGUCUGCGGAAGGGGCCCAGGUGUCCGGGGAGGGGCCCAGGCGUCUGGGAAGGGGCCCAGGCGUCCCGGAAAGGGGCCCAGGUGUCCAGGGAAGGGCCCAGGCGUCCGGGGAGGGGCCCAGGCGUCCGGGACUCACAUGGCGACGCGGGCCUCGGGGCCCAGCAGUUCAUCCAGCUCCCGCAGGCGCUGCUCUGGGGGGGGGAGGGGAGGCGGUGUCACCCCCGGCCAGGGCCCAGGCGUCCGGGAAGGGGCCCAGGCGUCCGGGAAGGGCCCAGGCGUCCGGGGCUCACCCUGCCUCCGCAGCUGCUCCCGCGUGGUCCCGGCCUUCGCCAGCUCCGCCGCCAGCCUGGCCGGCGCCUGCGGGGAGACGGCGCCGGGGAGGGGCCCAGGCGUCCGGGAGGGGCCCAGGCAUCC